Molecule: unclassified non-coding RNA, 296 nt
Filed under: uncultured Basidiomycota
Lineage: Eukaryota; Fungi; Basidiomycota
Description: sequence contains ITS2
Rfam family: 5.8S ribosomal RNA (bases 1-52)
Source: RNAcentral
AACGCACCUUGCGCCCUUUGGUAUUCCGAAGGGCACACCUGUUUGAGUGUCAUUAAUUCCUCAACCCUGUCAUUUUAUUAGUGGAAUGGCAAUGGUUGGAUGCUGAGUGUUGCUGGAUUUUCAGUUCAGCUCACUUUAAAUUUAUGAGCAGGCUCCUAUCGUUUUCGGACUGACUCAACGUAAUAAGAAAUUUCGUUGAGGACGCUUGACUGCGGCCGAAUUGUAGGGAAAUGCCGCUACUAGUUGACCCUUAUAUUUUAGACCUCAAAUCAGGUGGGACUACCCGCUGAACUUAA